AUCCGCUCUCUCGUGUGCGAGGUCUCUUCCGUGGUCGCCAGAUAGAUAGACGUGCUGGCACCGCUUCACAGCCAUGCGUCAUCACAUCGCUUCCCCCACAUCCUUUCGCUUUCUCCUCCUCCUCCUCUCCGUGAGUGCCGAGGUCUUGGCAUCCCGUAAUGCCGCCGCGACGAGGCAAGCAGGUCGAUCUCGGUGUGUGGGGGCCGCCCCCGCCACUACCGGCAUCUUCGACAAGAGCGCCGAUGCCAGCGCACGGCGGCGGUGGCGCGGCGUCGGCCGCCGGCCCUUCGCCGGCAUUCCUGCAGCGCUUUGCGAACCGCACGGAGGUGAUCGGCAAGGACGGUGCCCAGGCACCGCGAGGCGUGGCUGCUGCGCCGGCAAGUGCAGAUGACGCUGCACCCGGAGCGCCUCCCAAGCGAAGGGCGUUAGCACCACUCCCCGGGUCGAGGAAGGCAUGUAGUGGAACGCCGGGUACCGCGCCGUCGCUGUCGGCGUCUCCAGCACCGACAACGACGGCGGCCGUAAAGGAUGACGCAACGAGGCCGGCGCGGAUUCGCAUCAUGACCCCGACUGAGCGGGCCCGCCUUGACUCACGGAUGCUGCCGCAAGAACAGAGACCCACGUCGUCCCCAGGUGCUGCGCCACAUCGCGACUCUCGUCUCUCGCCUCCUUCCACUCCAGCGGUGUGUGCGGAGGGGAAGGCCGUGGCGAAGUGCGUUCUUGCCCCGUCCGCUGCUGCGGCCGCCGCUGCUGCCUCCUGUGUUGCUCAGGGGGACGGCAAGGUGGGGAGGUGCAGCUAUCCGCUGUUGCCGUUUCGACGUGACGCAGGCCUUCGUCCAUGCCCGUCCACAGCGUCGCGUGUCGGCACGCCGAUGCGGUUGACGCCCAUGCAGAGCCCCAGUAAGGCGUCUGCGGCCUCGUUGACAGCGCUAACUGUUUCGACGAGCUCAGAGAGAGCCGAGCUCUUGUCAGUGCCGCAGUCCGAACACCCCAUCGAGCCGCUGGGGUAUCGUGAACGACCCGCGCCGACGGCUGCUGCCGCUUCUGCUGCGUCUUCAGGUCACCCACAGCACGCGGGGCCGAUGAAGGUUCCGUCACCGCAGGCAACGAGGCACCAUUCAGACCGAUGCCGGCACUCCCGCUCGCUCGCCACUGCGACUGCGGCUGCCGGCAGCAACAAGUCGGCCACUUACAAGCCGUAUUCACUGAGCUCGUACAAGACGCUCAUGGCAGAUGUUGCGGCGCGCAAGUCUGGCGGUCUGGGGCCCAGCGACACGGAUGAGCAGCGGGCUGCGCGUGAGAAGCGCGAAAGGGCCAAGACGUACGCCAGGCAUGCCGUGAAGGUAGCGCGUGCCGCUCUGGCGGGGGUGGGCUCGUGCGCUGACGAGGGCGAGGUCAACCCCGGCACCAUCAACAUCUCCCCCGUCUCUUCCUCCGCGCGUGCUGCCAGAGCGAGAGGCUCAUCAUCAGCGCGGUCGUCCUCGUCAGACGCAAGCACGACAGCUACGACUAUCACUACUACUUCCACGUCCGCGUCGCGCUCGGCCUCUGCAGAAUUUCCUGAGCAUCGCAGGCAGCCACCGAGAGGCACACCUUGUGCAGCCCCGCCGCCACACGCGACGCCCCCACAGCAUGCGAUGUUGGAGCCGUCAUCGUCGGCCACAUCACCACGACAGCUGUCGGCUGCUGGAGUGAACGGCGGCGAGGUAGCCUCGUCCUGCUCCGGGGCAGAGAGCACCAACGCCAAAAGCCCGAAAUCGGUGCUGCCUCCGCUCUCGGCACCUCCACGCACGUCGCCAGCAGUCGCCGCCUUCGCCGUGGCGGCCGCGCCACGACGACAGAUCAUGCAGGCGCGACGACGUCGCGAGCGCGCCCUGACCUACGCGCGGGAGGUGUCGCAGAAGCGCCGACGGCCAACGCCCGCGGAUUUUGAGGGCGACAACUCGGCUUGUGCGGCAUCGGGCGGGGCGAAAUCGCGAACCGGGCCAGUCGUCAAGAGCGGCGACACGGAUGAAGAUGACAUGUGGCUGGGCAGGACCGCCGUCAUCUCCGCUCCCGGCGCAUUUCGAGGAGCCGAUAUGCCCGAUCCGGAUCGGGCCCAGCGUCUGCAGCGCCUGCUGGAGCUGGAGGCCCUGCACGCCACGAAGAGGGAGGCCGUGGAGGGAAUUCGCCGACAGCUGCGUGCGUGAGAAACGAGGGGAGGCCGAUGACGGGGAAGCGCGCUCUGGCGUGUCUGGGACGUUAGUGGUGUCUUCUCACGGUCUCGCAAACGGACCCCUGCACCGCUUUUGGCAGCGUUGUGGCCGCCGCCGCUUCCUCGAGCGCGCCUCGGAAGCGUUCUAGCUCGGUGGCACUGCUGAAGAGGAACCAUGGAGUCGUGUGUUGCCGAGGUCGUCGCAGUGACGGUGGUGAAGGGGGGCCGCCCAGGGGAGGCGCGGCGAGCCCCCACGCCUCGGGUUUUCAACUGCGGACGAUGUACCAGAGGGGCCCG
Molecule: unclassified non-coding RNA, 2491 nt
Filed under: Leishmania donovani
Lineage: Eukaryota; Euglenozoa; Kinetoplastea; Trypanosomatida; Trypanosomatidae
Description: gene:LdHU3.08.0330(CDS-product:hypothetical_prote in_conserved)
Source: RNAcentral